This 548-nucleotide long non-coding RNA is filed under the name Spirodela polyrhiza (greater duckweed). RNAcentral describes it as "long non-coding RNA (SPOL_LNC002381)". The record is from RNAcentral. Lineage: Eukaryota; Viridiplantae; Streptophyta; Magnoliopsida; Alismatales; Araceae.
UUGCAUGCAUUCGGUUGACCCAGCGUUCCGUUGACUUUUGAUAUUGACUCUUGACUGUAGUCUUGAAUGAAGCGACCUCGCGGUGUGCCCACACUCACUCUCUUUUUGACUGACACUGCUCUGAUCUGCCUCCUACAGUCUUGAAAAGAGGAUCAAUAAGAAGGUCAUGGCGAUGUUUGAGAAAGCGGAAGAUGAAUACAACGACCUCAUAUCCAAGAAGAACAUCAUCGAGGCCGGUUCCCUUUGGCAACAGCUCUCUGAUUUUCCUGCACCAGAAGAAAACCCAUCGGCUUCCUGUUCUUGGCUGAUAACGAUGGCUGGUCCUUGCAGAACGAUAAGUCAAAGAUCAAGAUGGUGAUUGAGGAGCUCGACGAGAAGAAGAGGGAGACCCUGAAGGUCACCUGGGUCAAAGUGAACAAGUGGGUGCUCCUCCCCGUGUUCCUGAAUCUCUUCUCCAUCUUGCAGCGGGAUUCAGCUGGGUUCAUCCUAAAAGAAUCCUCCAUUUGCAGAGAUUUUGGGUCGAUAUUCUCCACUCUUCUGCCGGGCGC